UUCAUAAAGGGAUUAGUAAUGGACAGAACUGCUGCAAUAAUAUAGUAUAAAUUCCACACUGACCACAUUAUAGAUUAAACUGUUCAUCAAAGCAAAUAAGAAGCAUGUCAUUUCUGGUCUUUGUCAUAAACAAGUCCUGGAAAAGUAUGAGCAGUGAACUGAAAUAAGAGGACUAGAGGUGAAUGUUUCUUGUAAAUCAGAUAAGGCUCACAGGGAUGACAAAAGAAGGAGUGUUGAGAAGAGGCUGUGCAGGCAUGUUUUGAGAGAGCAGGACUGCUUGCUAGGAAGGACAGGGGGUUUAAGACUAUCCCACAGAGACUCAGGUUAAUGGAUUGUCUAAGAAAUCAGUUUUGUUGAAUUGACAAAGACAGCAGAGGACAGAGGUCAAAGUUGCUCUCAUGACUUGACUGGCAAUCUGGAAAGGGUGAGAGUAAAGGCAAUAUUGACUCAAACAGUCCCCUUAAUGAGUAGACAUGGAUGUGAAAAAUAAAGAGAGUAAAGUAAGGAGAAUAAAAAAAGGGGGGAAUAAAACAAUACCUAAUGAGUUAACAGCUGAGUGUUAAGUAGAAUUGAAGGCCAGAAGGUGAUAGGGGGACCACUGAUAAAGUAGAUCACAAGGACUGAGGAAUAUAAAGCCCGAGUCACACAUUCACUUCUAUGACUCCCGGCGCUCUCCCGACUCAGACCACGCCUCCCACCGUCGGGCCGCACGCCGACAGUUUUGGACAUUUUCAAAACAAUUGGGGCCCUCCCCGAUAUCUGUCACCCGUCGUGAAUAAGCUACGGCCGUUGGAUGUCAUCUCAACGACGUCGUAACAACGUUGUUUCGACAUCGGCUAUGGUUGGCACUCAAGGGGAUGGACUUACGAUGGUCGUUACGUACGUCUGGCAGCGCGACAUUCCAAAACCGGCAGUGCGUGGUCUGAUGUCGGGAGGGUGCCGGGAGUCAUUGUCGUGAAUGUGUGACUGGGGCUUAAGGAGAGAAGAGGGAGGGUGUGAGUGAUGGAAGAAGGGGAGUGUAUGAACAGGGAGAACUGGAGACUCCUCUGCCAUAGCCACUUCCUCAAGAGGAAUGCCUGGAAGGAAAAGGGCAUCAAGGCAUUAGAUAGGAAGAGUCCAAGAGUAAAUCAAUACAGAAAUGAGGAAGAGUGCCUUCCCUGGGAGUGGACCCCGUACGCAGGAUGAUUGUGAGAGGCGUUGGUACAACGUACAACAAAAAUCAAAGCCUCGCAUUACCAUGUACAAGAAUGAGCAGCGGCAGACUGCUCCGCUGCUCUAUUGCUGGAGAUCAUCCCAGCACAGUUCAUUUCUUGUGGAGGAGGUACCAUCAGCUGCUCUGGCACCAGCCACUGCUUCAACAUCUGCUGGCCCUAUGGCAUCUGCCACUGCUUCAUCAAUUGAUGGCCCAAUGACACCUGCCACUGCAAGGGACGACAACGAAGCUGCUCCACCACACUCUCCACCUACUUCAUCGGAGUUAAGAGAUGCCUUUCAUAGGGCAGCAGUAAAAUAUUUUGAUGCUGGGGCUGAAUAUUACCACCUCAAGGUUAUGAAGCUAAGGAGAGACCUUAAUAUUAAAUAAAUCCUCAAAACACUUUAUCU
Eriocheir sinensis (Chinese mitten crab) is the source of this 1602-nucleotide long non-coding RNA. RefSeq lists it as uncharacterized. Lineage: Eukaryota; Metazoa; Arthropoda; Malacostraca; Decapoda; Varunidae. The record is from RefSeq and is a predicted model, not a curated record. The transcript is spliced from 3 exons.